Small nucleolar RNA from Apodemus sylvaticus (European woodmouse), 134 nucleotides. RefSeq annotates it as small nucleolar RNA SNORA42/SNORA80 family. The transcript has a single exon. NCBI's taxonomy places the organism in Eukaryota, Metazoa, Chordata, Mammalia, Rodentia, Muridae. The record is from RefSeq and is a predicted model, not a curated record.
GCAUGGGUUUCAAUUUAUGGCAGGCCUAUUCCUCUGGGCCUCUCACAGUGUCCCAUGCUAGUACAACCCCUGGCCCCGAACCACUGCCUGGCCUCUUUCUGUAGGUUGCUAGCACUGAAGUGGGUUGCACAGUA